This 151-nucleotide ribosomal RNA is filed under the name Pseudomonadales bacterium. RNAcentral describes it as "partial 16S ribosomal RNA". It matches the Rfam family "Bacterial small subunit ribosomal RNA", at positions 1383 to 1533 of the family's 1533-position model. The record is from RNAcentral. Lineage: Bacteria; Pseudomonadati; Pseudomonadota; Gammaproteobacteria; Pseudomonadales.
GUACACACCGCCCGUCACACCAUGGGAGUGGGUUGCAAAAGAAGUGGGUAGACUAACCUUCGGGAGGUCGCUCACCACUUUGUGAUUCAUGACUGGGGUGAAGUCGUAACAAGGUAGCCCUAGGGGAACCUGGGGCUGGAUCACCUCCUUA